Long non-coding RNA from Dromaius novaehollandiae (emu), 3772 nucleotides. RefSeq lists it as uncharacterized. The transcript is spliced from 5 exons. The record is from RefSeq and is a predicted model, not a curated record. NCBI's taxonomy places the organism in Eukaryota, Metazoa, Chordata, Aves, Casuariiformes, Dromaiidae.
GAUGAGGCUGCGGGGAAAAAAAGGGGAAGUAAAGACUGGUUUCCUGCCUGUGAUGCUGCACUGAGGCAUGACCCAGGUCUCGGGGAGGAGAAUGCAAGAGGACGGGACAGGCAGCAUGCGUACCUGCCAUGCCCCAGGCACAAAGCACAAACCCAGGCUUGCAAACUGUGGGGCAACACCUGGUGCCUUGCUCCCCACGGUCCCCUCAAAAAGCCCCCAAAGAGGUAUGGGUGUGACUUUGCUUUGUCAUAGCGUGUUGCACUAUGUCUGCGAGUGCCAGCCUCCAUGGGAGACUUGGGAUAUGUCACAAUUUCCUCUGGACCCAGCGCAGUGGCACAAACCAACACAUGGCAGGUUCCCAACAUCCUGAGGGUGAAACUUCCCCCAAAUUUCUCAGCCUGCACAGCCUCAGCCCCAACGUUCCUGUACUUUCAUGCAUUGCACUAGAAAUGUGCAAUAUCCGUUUCACAUCUCUUGGACAAAAAGAACUUCCCUUUUUUUUUUCUCCCCUAAAAAAAUCCUCAGUUGAUCAAGUCCAACCUGAUCCCAAGCAGCCAUUUGUAUCCCCUGCAAGGAUUAUUAGAGUGGGACCCAGCCUUUGGUAGGUGCAGCAGCCCGUUAUCUGGAUCACUAGGACACUGUUAUUUAUAAUCUUCUUCCCACAGGCUUUCCGCCCCAACAACAUCGUGCUGUUUGGCUUGUAGGUUCGGCUGCAGCCUGGGCACCACAGCAAGAAACCCCUCACAUGCACGUUUCUGUGAAUGCAUGCUUGAGCCCCAGGGUUGCAGCCUGACCUCCCUGCAACCCUCUUUUCAUCGUUAAUGCCCUAGUCAUCCUCUUGCUCAUCUGUCAAAGGAUAGUUAUACCCAGGUCAACUGAAUAGCCCUGUGGGCUCCAAUGAGCUGGUGUGCAACCCAGUUCUGGCACCAUUUGGCGAGCCCAAGGGGAAUCUAGAACAUCUCCAGAGUUGUUAGACCUCUUUUCGUGGGAAGAGGGCCCUGGAUCUCCACACUGUCGGGAGCUCAGACUCUUGGCUAAUGAGGAGGUUAGGCUUUUAAACUGUGCUGUGGGAGAAGGCUCCAUAAUCCAGUCUCCUCUUUGCUUGUUUGAGUGGAAAGGGGUCUACGUGGCCCUGUACGCAGUCUAGACACUCCCGACCGCACAUACUCUUCCCAUUUUCUGCAGAGUCCCUGUCCCCUUGGUUUUAGUCCCUGCACUGGGGAGCUCUGCCUCCCCUGAGGGAAUGGAUUCACCCUGGUGUGAUCCGUCUUUCCGCAGUGGGUCUGUCCAGCCAUCUGCAGGCAGAUAUGGAGAUUACGUCCAACAAGAAGCAGCUUCUGGCCAAGGGCAGUUUGCAUGUACGGCUCUGAACUGGGGGCCAGACGCAGAGGGCACCGCGCCAGCUGGCAAAUUGACAGCGGGGCAUGUUUUUCCCCUCCUGUCUUUUCUCACAGAUUGCACCUAAGAAAAAGGCGGACAGGUCUUAUCUCAUUUCCAUUCCCUUUCCUUUCUCUCCUCCCCUCCCACACACUUUUGUAUUCUUCUCACUUUCGGUUUCCUUCUUGAAUAUAUGCUUAUGUUUCCUGCUCUGUAGUAUUUUGCCGGCUUUGUAGCCCAAAGAGUGAAACACAAUGUGGGGAGGGCUUAGGCCUGUUGUUGGGGAGGUAAAAAAACCUGGAUAUCUAAAUCUGAGUGUAUUCAAUUGUGUUUCCUGAGAGCAGGGUAUAAAAAAGAGAAGAGAAGACCCUGCUGAUUGCUGAAAAGGAAGAAAGAUAAACAUGACACUAAGAUGGGAAACAGAAGUUCUGAGGGGGAGAUUUCAAAAUUUCCCAGGGAGAUAUGUGUGUGUGUGGGGAGAUGGGGCUGAAGAUGGAGUGAGGUCCCGGGACUUUCCCACAGCUUUUGCAAGGCCUGUCACACCUUUCCAGGCUUUUUCAAUAGAAAACAGUCACAGUCCUUCUUCCCAGAGCACAGAAGACUUUGGAAAUUUUGGGAGUGUUUGGAAAUCAUUGCUGUUUUAAAGAAAAAUACGAACAAGAAUCACCCAGAAGCUUUUGGAGCUAGUUUUCCCAGGUGUUCUGGGUCAUAUCAUGCCCAACUGAAAUGCACCUAAAGCAGUUUGAGAGAGUGUUUCACACGGGCCAGAGCAGCCCUCUCAGGUCAAAUUCUGAAUUGCUAAGUGAUGACUUGUUUCCUCCUGCAACGGAAAUUAGAAAACCAGAAAACAGACCAAGAAAGACCAGAGCUUGCCUGCCUCCUGUAAAUAGUGCAAAGACGGGCUGGGGCUUGCAAGCGGGCUCAUGCAAUGCUCCUGCACUGCUGGAGGUGCAACACUGGUGGGCAGGGAUGCUGACACAAACCAGUUCCUGAGCUGUGGCUCCACUCACAGCUCUCCUCACCACCUCCUAGCCCCACAUCACAGCGCUCUUGUUUUUUUUCAUCACUAGCCUCAGAGCCUUUGUUCUCCUGUGACACUCAGUCGGUCUCAGUCUGACAGAGUGCAGCCCCAUCCUCAGACAUGACGCAGGAUCCCACAGCCUUUUGGGGGCUUUUGGGGGAGCUGUGAAGAAGAGAAAAGAAAGCGAUCUCAGGAGGUGAUAUAUUGUAAAGGAUAGAGAACUGACUGAUUUGCAAGCUUUAGCAUGCUUUUUUCUUCUUCAGCCAUGACCUUGUAAUCGUCUUUGGAUCAAUUUCUGAGAUUUACUGAGAAUUUUAACACUUCCAGGGACACCAGCCUUGAACAAUGAGCCUAGUGACACACUGGUCACUCCAUAUAGGGCCCUGGGCAGGUGCUAGCAGGUGAGGCUAGUUGCUGCUUCUCUGAAUACUCACCCAUCUGCUCUGCGAUGCAGGUGCCGGUGUGACCACACAGGACUUUGGCAGCUCCCCAGGACUGACCCCUUGGAGGAGUGAUCAUCCUGGAGGCAAGCUGUUUUGCAGCCCUGCAGUCACUGAUGCUAGCCCCUGACAUCCUCCAUCACUGCCUCUUCUCCAGAGUCACGUAUAAACCAAAACUUUUCUCUGUAAGGACAGGAUGGAGGUUCACAGCCUGAAUGUUGAACUGGGACAGGAAGUGGGUCCAGGUCCCAGGAGAAGCCUUCAGUCAGAGGGCCAGCUAUACCCCUUUGGGUCUGGAUCCUGCGCUCUGCCCUGGCUCUGCUCCUCCUGAUGUCUGCCCCCCUCAUCACCCUCGUCCUGGAGAGACGCACCCACUGGGCCACCAGAGCCAGCCCCACUGGGGCAGCCUAGAGACCUCGCUGCCCCCAUUGCCCUCUGAUGUUCUCACUGUCCCGGCUCCCAGCUGUCCGCAGGCCCUUUCCCCAUUUCCAAGCAUGACCCAUAUCAACCUCAGGCUCCUGCUGUGGCUGGGUUCAAGCCAGCAGCCUGGAGGGAUGCCCCAGGGCCACGCUGCCAUUGCUGGGCUUUACUUCACUCACCCCUGCUCUGUCCUCACUUCCCUGAUGAAGGGUAAUUGACUCUCUCAUCCCACUAGGUGCAUAAAACCCCACAGUCAGGUGGCUGACCCUCCUGCUCGCAGAAAGCAGCCUCCUUGCUGCAUGGUCCACCCCUGCAGCUCUGGAGGACACAGGGCCUGGUUUCACAUGCUCCACACACAGUGAUGCUCUCCAGGUCCUGCAUCACUGCAGUGCUUCCCAUCACCCAAGGCUGGUGCUGGCAGCCAAGGGCAAGUCCCUGGGCACUGCUGGGGGGUUACGGUGUCCUGUGUGGAGGCACUUUCAUCUGCAGGGGGUCUGUGGAAGUGGAGCUAUAA